Molecule: ribosomal RNA, 747 nt
Filed under: uncultured bacterium
Lineage: Bacteria
Description: bacterial SSU rRNA
Rfam family: Bacterial small subunit ribosomal RNA
Source: RNAcentral
GUGCCAGCCGCCGCGGCUAUACGUAUGGUGCAAGCGUUAUUCGGAUUUAUUGGGCGUAAAGGGUCCGUAGGUGGUUUGUUAAGUCAGGUGUGAAAUCCCGGAGCUCAACUCCGGAACUGCACUUGAAACUGAUGAACUAGAGUAUUGGAGAGGUAAGUGGAAUUUCAGGUGUAGCGGUGGAAUGCGUAGAUAUCUGAAGGAACACCAAAAGCGGAGGCAGCUUACUGGACAAUCACUGACACUGAGGGACGAAGGCGUGGGUAGCGAAAAGGAUUAGAUACCCUUGUAGUCCACGCAGUAAACGUUGUGUACUAGUUGUGGGGGGAAUUAGCCCCCUCCGUGACUGAGCUAACGCAUUAAGUACACCGCCUGGGGACUACGGCCGCAAGGCUAAAACUCAAAGGAAUUGACGGGGACCCGCACAAGCGGUGGAGCAUGUGGCUUAAUUCGAGGCAACGCGAAGAACCUUACCUGGUCUUGACAUAUUUACGAUCGCUGUAGAAAUACAGUUUCCUUCGGGCGUUUAUACAGGUGCUGCAUGGCUGUCGUCAGCUCGUGCUGUGAAGUGUUCGGUUAAGUCCGCAACGAGCGGCAACCCACGUACUAUUUGCCAUCAGGUAAUGCUGGGAACUAUAGUGAGAAUGCCCGUGUUAAACGGAAGGAAGCGUGGACGAACGUCAAGUCAGUAUGGCCCUUAUGAACAGGCUUGCACACGUGCUACAAUGGUCGGUCAAAGGAUGCAUACCC